CUCGUUACAGGCCAACAGCCUAUAAUGAUGCCAGUAAAAAAGUUAGCCCUGUGCUCGGAGAAAGAAAGAAGGCUUAUGGAUACCCAAAAGCUUCUCUUGAAGAAGGAAAGUACCUCGACCACAUUCUCAAUAUGGCGUCUAUGAUCACUUUCUAUUCUUUUUUUUCUCCACCAACUAAUUUGUUUCUGUUAUAUACACAACUACAUAUCAGAACAGGUUAUUGGUCUCGCUUUCAGUUCUCUAACGAAGCAUAUUGGCACAUCGUGAAUUUUAAAGGAGUUUGUCCAUCUGGGAUAUUAACAGUAGGAAGUCAGAUAUUAUGCUAUUACUGUAUGUAAUUGCAAAGUUUUAUUGCUCUACUCACCAAACCCCCUAUACAAGACUCUUCCCUGAAUCCUAAACCCCUGAUGGCUUAGAGUUCCAUGGAAGCCUAAAGUCUUGCCUGUGUGCCAGUGUUUUCUUCUCCUGAUAGUGGGGUCGUGUUCUGAGGUUCCAAGAUAUUGAGGGAGGGAAGAAAGAAUGGUAAAACAACUAGAAGACCUGUGGCAGAGGAUGAAGUUGACAUAAGAUAUAGAGAAAGAAAGAGAGGCAUGGAGAGCUACCCUAUAUAACAUGUGGAAAUUGGAAAGCAGUAAAGGGAGUAAGGACAUGAGAGCUGGGAAUGAUGAGCUUAUUCUUGUUCAUAUUCAAUGAUUAGACGGAAAAUUAGAGGGUCAAACAGGGAGGACCUUCGUCCUUCGGCAAGAAUCUAGUGCUCUUGCUUGAUUUGAUAUCCAUGCACAAUCAAGACAGAUGACUGAGGCUUCAUUCUGGGUGCAGAUUUAUAAUCCUUCCCCCAAAGAGUAUGGCGAAGCAGCAGUCAACAAAUAUAUGAUAAAUAUAUAGCCUGUAGCCUUUCCUUAUGGUGGAUCAGCAUUCAGCAAAUAUAUUUGGACGAAAUAAUCCAAGCCAUGAGUCUCAAUGUUAAACUUGGAAUUUUAUUUUAUUUAUUUUGUUUUUUUGAGAAGGAUGUUAAACUUGGGUUCGAUCUACCUUUCAGAUGAAUAUAACAUUCAUGCAGCUGGCAGACACCUUGGAUUUUUAGUUGCCUAUGUUCAUGCGAUUCCAUUUCCCAUUUGAUUAAACAUUUUGGCCAUAUUAUGUAAAACAAAAAGGACUACCCUUUAAAAAAAAAAAAA
Long non-coding RNA from Quercus lobata, 1178 nucleotides. RefSeq lists it as uncharacterized. The transcript has 2 exons. Lineage: Eukaryota; Viridiplantae; Streptophyta; Magnoliopsida; Fagales; Fagaceae. The record is from RefSeq and is a predicted model, not a curated record.